Molecule: long non-coding RNA, 4007 nt
Organism: Cydia splendana
Lineage: Eukaryota; Metazoa; Arthropoda; Insecta; Lepidoptera; Tortricidae
Exons: 3
Source: RefSeq, a predicted model, not a curated record
UGGUCCGGGGCGAUAAUACGAAGCCACUCUUUUCACAGGGCAAUAAUGUACGACCCCAUAAUUCGCGUCCACUAAUUUGAGUCCCUUGGCUUUCAAUUAUUGGGCUGCGCAUUAUUGGUACAGGUCGAGAAAGCCCGACCCAAUAAUGUACGACCCAAUAAUUGGAAGCCAAAAACCAGAGACAUUCUUUUUUUUAAGGGAGCUGUCAAAAUUAGUAGGGACGUUCUGACAUUAGCUCUUGACAAUUUAAAAAUAAUCGGUUUUUUCUAGUGCCAUCUUUCAGUGACAUUGACAGUAUUGACACUUGUUGGUUUACAAAUACAAUAAAUGGAUUCUAAUAAAAGAAACAGUAGACUCAGUAGAGGUACGAGGUACUGAAAAAAUAUUAAUUAAUGGAGAAGCCGAAGUUGGAGGAAAACAAGAAGAUUCGAGGAGAAUGGUGUGGCACUUAAUGCCGCCGGGACAGUAACCUAGCUGCAGCUCCAACUCUAGGGAAUUGGGCUAAAUGAACGCAACACGUGAUCGACAGCCCACCUGCUUCCUGCCGAGCGUCCCUACACUUCCUCUACAUGGAUGCCUCGCUUAUUCUGCUCUACAAAACUUCUGAGCUGAUACAAGCAGCCAGAAUGAGUCUCUGCUGAGUCGCCGGCGCCGGACGUGCGUCGCGCGCCUCGGGCGUCUGACGUCUUCGUGUCAGUCGCCAAUUGCAGGAGAAGAUACGAAUAGUUAGGUAUAAAAGCUACUUUAGUCAACCUCGCCUCAGUACUGUUUGUAUUGACUGAAAUACAAGUAGCAUAUAUGAGACGUUCGGACGUAUCCGUGAAAAUACGAAGGUAAAGGAAAUUGCACUACAUUUUUAGAACCUAUUCACCUGUCAGUAAAAUAUUGAAAAGGAAUGUUCAUGAGUUUUAUAAUUUUCUUUCCUCCAACAGCUUCACAUGGAGCAAAUGUAAACCUUUUAUGUUAAUAAUAUCAGUAAUGUCAAGGUACAACGCUCUUUAGAUCAUAUUGCCAUUCCUUUUACUCGAGCGGCCUGUGGGUUAACUAUACGAAGCGAGCCUACAAUGCAUUAAAAGUGCAGUAUAACAAUGCAUUCACAAUGCUGUUGGGCUUACCUCGUAGAUGUAGUGCAUCUGGCAUCUUUUGCGAAGCUAGAAGUUUUCUGGCAAUCAUGCGCAAGAAAAUAGUAUCUCUGCUAGGUCGAGUUAGAAGCAGUCCCAAACAUACAUGUUCGAAAAGUAGAACUCCCUUAGAUCGUGUUUCAAUUUAUCGCCUCUCGUUGGCAAUUAAGGUGGUUCGCUUUCCAUACAAAAAACAAUUAAGUACCUAAUAGUGUGUAAUUACUUAAUAUAACGCAAUUGUUUUUUGUAUGGAAAGCGAACCACCUUAACUAUUCGCACAACGUUUUGUAGUUGCAGUAAGUACUUACAUAUGGCCGGUAAAAUUUUCGAAAUAGGUAUGUAUUUACGUACAGUGCUAAUUGCCGCACAUAGAAUAAUUAAAGUUGAUCAAUCGGAAUAUGUUCAUAAGUCACUUAUUACAUUUCGAUUUAUAAGUCUGUAUUUUCCAGCUUUAGAUGUGCAUGACUGUAUAUGCACAUCUAAAGCUGAAAAAUGCUUUCAUGAAUACGUUUAUAAUUAUGGCUAAAUUAUGUUAAUAGGGACAAAUGUAUCAUUUUCAACCAAAGGGGUACUUAUUAUCUGUUGUCAAUAAGGCGCUAAGUAUUUCCAUAAAGCUUCAAUUUGAAAUCAGCCUCGUCGACAACCGACAAUGUUAACCUUUUGGUUGAAAACGUCACAAAUUAUGGCGAUAGAGAAUACAAUGUUCUGUUGCCAGAGUGCAGCACUAGUAAAACCCGUAAACGAGUGAAUUGCAAAAAAGUGUAGGUAACACAAUGGAAUAUUCACAAAAAUAUGCAAGAAUGUAACACAAAAUGAAGAAAAUGUAUGUGUUUUUUUUUGUGUUACGUCACACAAAGGAAGCCAAAAUCGACGCCGCAAUAUUUUUCACGACGUGUAGAAUAAAAGUGGCGUCGAAUUCAGGAAUCCGCAAAUACCAUACCGAUAGCCAAGUAAUUUAUCUAUAGAACAAUGUUAAAACAGUAGUAGAAACGGUUAGUUUUGCAAACUUUUAGUAGAUUAGUUUGGUUUUGGUAGAUCUCUCGGUUUGGCAUGCUUGAUGCUCUUCACAUCACCACAGACGGAGGUCGACAGUUCGAAUCUGUCUUGUUCAACCAAUUGAUGGAGGCACAUGCACGCAUACGAACCACAUAUUACACUACCAUCCUGGAGCUAAUUGGAUUAUUUGCAUUUACUAUUAUAGUAUAUACCUAUGCCUUAUUUUUACGCCUAAGACCCUAUAAGCUUUUAACAAAAACCAUUAUUUCUUUUAUACCUACGGGCGGUUUAGCUCCCGUACCUACCUCUAUUAUACCUAGCCACGUGCUAAAGCAACAAUGUCCUUUAAAUCCGUAUCCUGUAUCGUGAUAGUAUUAAGAUUCAACUCGUCUACAUUGAGGUGGUCGAUCGUCCUAAAUACAUUACCAAAACAUGUUAACUCGUAUGAGCUGUUACAUAGAUUUGAACCUUAAUACUAUCAUGAUAAUUUUUUAUUAAUAUUUUUAAAUAAUUUGUUAAGCAUAUUUACACUUGCAAAUAUAAUUUGCAGCAUUCUAAUAUUAUGCUAUGGUAAACAUAUAACAUGUUAUAUAUUCGCGAUUCAUGUCAACAGCCCUAUUGUCAGGCCCCCUCCAGCAGCAGCGCCCCCGCCCCGCAGUAAUAGUUAUUUGUUUUACAAGGAGGCAAAGUUGUUGUUCAAUCGCUCGUGCUAAUAUUGAUACCCGAGCAAGCGAAAGAUUCCAAAAUUGAACCAAUAGCGUAGCGAGUGGUUAAAAAAAUGGAAUCUUGAGCGUUGCGAGGGUUUCAAAGCGCGAGGGUUAAACAAAAUUUGCCCCCGAGUGAAACACAAAAUUUUUCACCACACCAACCCGAAGCAAAUAUUAAAUGUAAAAUAUCAAACAAAAUCAAAUCCAAAUUAAUGUUACCUAUUAAACAUUUAUCAUCCAAAAUCAUCAUAAAAGUCAAUUCUACCAGCAAACAUAAGAAAACAACUCAAAAUUUGCAUUUGAUUACUUUGCCUCACAUGUGAAUAAAAUGCAACUUUGCUAUCAGUUUUUGAAGUGCAAAGUAAGCCUUUCCAAGUAGGUGUGGUGAAAUAGUUAUUUGUUUUACAAGGGGGCAAAGUUGUUGUUUAACCGCUCGUGCUAAUAUUGACACCCGAGCAAGCGAAAGAUUCCAAAAUUGAACCACGAGCGUAGCGAGUGGUUCGAAAAAUGGAAUCUUGAGCGUUGCGAGGCUUUCAAAGCACGAGGGUUAAAGAAAAUUUGCCCCCGAGUGAAACACAAAAUUUUUCACCACACCAACCCGAAGCAAAUAUUAAAUGUCAAAUAUCAAAGAAAAUCAAAUCCAAAUGAAUGUUAUUAAAUAUUUAUCAUCCAAAAUCAUCAUUUAAAAGUCAAUUCUACCAGCAAACAUAAGAAAACAACUCAAAAUUUACAUUUGAUUACUUUGCCUCACAUGUGAAUAAAAUGCUAGUAAUAAAGUGCUAUUGAAAGAGGCGGCUGUACAGGGCAUGGGGCCUAGGGCGGCGAAUAGUUAUUUACGAUACAAGUGCGGAAAAGAGGAAAUUCGAACGAGUGGCGAUAAAUUAAAACACGACCGAAGGGAGUGUUUUAAAUCCACACGAUUUGCAAAUUACCUAUUCGCGCAUGUAUCGUACAACGUUUUACAGUACAUGGCCCUUUAAACUUUUGACAUACGCACGAAAAGUGCUAUUUUACGCACUAGUGCGGGAAAAUAGGACCAUAUGUACUUUAAAUGAUAUUUUUAUUAUUAAUUUGUAUAAAUAUAUGAAUGUCAUUAGUCAUUGCCUACAUUAAAUGUACUUAAUCUAUGCUUCCAUAAAUAUAUUUACUAUCAUUAUCAAUAUAUUACAAGACGUUGCACAUA